RNAcentral lists this ribosomal RNA (603 nucleotides) under uncultured freshwater bacterium. RNAcentral describes it as "bacterial SSU rRNA". It matches the Rfam family "Bacterial small subunit ribosomal RNA", at positions 8 to 608 of the family's 1533-position model. The record is from RNAcentral.
AGAGUUUGAUCCUGGCUCAGGAUGAACGCUAGCGGCAGGCCUAAUACAUGCAAGUCGAGCGGCAAGUUGGGUAGUAAUACUUGACCUAGAGCGGCGCACGGGUGCGUAACGCGUAUGCAACCUACCUUUUACUGGGGGAUAGCCCGGAGAAAUCUGGAUUAAUACCCCAUGGUACCUAAGAAUCGCCUGGUUUUUAGUUUAAAGAUUUAUCGGUAAAAGAUGGGCAUGCGUCUGAUUAGCUAGUUGGCGGGGUAACGGCCCACCAAGGCGACGAUCAGUAGGGGUUCUGAGAGGAAGGUCCCCCACACUGACACUGAGAUACGGGCCAGACUCCUACGGGAGGCAGCAGUAGGGAAUAUUGGGCAAUGGUCGCAAGACUGACCCAGCCAUGCCGCGUGCAGGAAGACGGCCCUCUGGGUUGUAAACUGCUUUUAUCUGGGAAGAAAAAGUCCAUGCGUGGAAAAUUGCCGGUACCAGAUGAAUAAGCACCGGCUAACUCCGUGCCAGCAGCCGCGGUAAUACGGAGGGUGCAAGCGUUGUCCGGAUUUAUUGNGUUUAAAGGGUGCGUAGGCGGCUGAAAAGUCAGCGGUGAAAGACUUCGGC